GACGAACGCUGGCGGCGUGCUUAACACAUGCAAGUCGAACGGAAAGGCCCUGCUUUUGUGGGGUGCUCGAGUGGCGAACGGGUGAGUAACACGUGAGUAACCUGCCCUUGACUUUGGGAUAACUUCAGGAAACUGGGGCUCAUACCGGCUAGGAGCUCCUGCUGCAUGGUGGGGGUUGGAAAGUUUCGGCGGUUGGGGAUGGACUCGCGGCUUAUCAGCUUGUUGGUGGGGUAGUGGCUUACCAAGGCUUUGACGGGUAGCCGGCCUGAGAGGGUGACCGGCCACAUUGGGACGGAGAUACGGCCCAGACUCGUACGGGAGGCAGCAGUGGGGAAUAUUGCACAAUGGGCGGAAGCCUGAUGCAGCAACGCCGCGUGCGGGAUGACGGCCUUCGGGUUGUAAACCGCUUUCGCCUGUGACGAAGCGUGAGUGACGGUAAUGUGUAAAGAAGCACCGGCUAACUACGUG
Molecule: ribosomal RNA, 468 nt
Filed under: uncultured bacterium
Lineage: Bacteria
Description: partial 16S ribosomal RNA
Rfam family: Bacterial small subunit ribosomal RNA
Source: RNAcentral